CUACGGGUGGCUCCAGCAAGGAAUAUUGGGCAAUGGGCGCAAGCCUGAUCCAGCGACACCGCGUGGAGGAAGAAGGCCUUCGGGUUGUAAACUUCUUUUCCCGGGGAAGAAUCAUGACGGUACCUGGGGAAUAAGCCUCGGCUAACUACGUGCCAGCAGCAGCGGUAAUACGUAGGAGGCGAGCGUUAUCCGGAUUUACUGGGCGUAAAGAGGGCGUAGGCGGCUUGUCAAGUCGGAUGUGAAAUCUCCCGGCUUAACUGGGAGGGUGCAUCGGAAACUGAUGGGCUGGAGUGCAGCAGAGGGAAGUGGAAUUCCCGGUGUAGUGGUGAAAUGCGUAGAUAUCGGGAAGAACACUAGUGGCGAAGGCGGCUUCCUGGGCUGUAACUGACGCUGAGGCCCGAAGGCGUGGGGAGCAAACAGGAUUAGAUACCCCGGUAGUC
This 440-nucleotide ribosomal RNA is filed under the name uncultured bacterium. RNAcentral's name for it is "partial 16S ribosomal RNA". It matches the Rfam family "Bacterial small subunit ribosomal RNA", at positions 339 to 795 of the family's 1533-position model. The record is from RNAcentral.